CCCUUAGAUGUUCUGGGCCGCACGCGCGCUACACUGAUGCAUUCAACGAGUCUAAAACCUGCUCUGAUAGGGGUGGGUAAUCUUUUGAAUGUGCAUCGUGAUUGGGAUAGAUGAUUGCAAUUUUUCAUCUUCAACGAGGAAUGCCUAGUAAACGCAAGUCAUCAGCUUGCAUUGAUUACGUCCCUGCCCUUUGUACACGCCGCCCGUCGCUCCUACCGAUUGAAUGGUCCGAUGAAUAUCAUGGAUUGAGGAUGCAAGUAGGUUCGCCUAUCUUCAUCUUCGAGAAGUGAAGUAAAUCUUAUCAUUUAGAGGAAGGAGAAGUCGUAACA
This 329-nucleotide ribosomal RNA is filed under the name uncultured eukaryote. RNAcentral's name for it is "partial 18S ribosomal RNA". It matches the Rfam family "Eukaryotic small subunit ribosomal RNA", at positions 1470 to 1796 of the family's 1831-position model. The record is from RNAcentral.